RNAcentral lists this non-coding RNA (147 nucleotides) under Burkholderia sp. RNAcentral describes it as "SAH sequence". It matches the Rfam family "SAH (S-adenosyl-L-homocysteine) riboswitch aptamer". RNAcentral also lists the same sequence under 1 other name. Lineage: Bacteria; Pseudomonadati; Pseudomonadota; Betaproteobacteria; Burkholderiales; Burkholderiaceae. The record is from RNAcentral.
GCCCCCGAGGAGCGUUGCGACGGAUGAUCCGCUGAAAAGCAGCAUCCGCCAGGCUCGGAGGCAUUCAAUCCGGACGGUUCGAAGGCGCUUUACCUUCAAGGUGAAAACGCCCGUCAAGCCACCGCAUUCGAACGGCGCUCACGUCAA